This 484-nucleotide ribosomal RNA is filed under the name uncultured bacterium. Its description in RNAcentral is "partial 16S ribosomal RNA". It matches the Rfam family "Bacterial small subunit ribosomal RNA", at positions 899 to 1397 of the family's 1533-position model. The record is from RNAcentral.
ACUCAAAUGAAUUGACGGGGACCCGCACAAGCGGUGGAACAUGUGGUUUAAUUCGACGGUAAGCGAGGAACCUCACCAAGGCUUGACAUGACACUGCAAAUCUCCUGAAAGGGAGACUCCUUCGAGGGUGUGUCACAGGUGCUGCAUGGUUGUCGUCAGCUCGUGCCGUGAGGUGUACCCUUAAGUGGGGUAACGAGCGCAACCCCUAUGCUGUGUUGUUUUUUCACAGCAGACUGCCUCGGAUAACGGGGAGGAAGGUGGGGAUGACGUCAAAUCAGCAUGGCUCUUACGCCUUGGGCGACACACGUGUUACAAUGGACGGUACAAAGGGCAGCCAAGUCGAAAGACGGAGCAAAUCCCAUCAAAACCGUUCUCAGUUCGGAUCGAGGUCUGCAACUCGACCUCGUGAAGCUGGAAUCGCUAGUAAACGCAUAUCAGCCACGGUGCGUUGAAUACGUUCUCGGGUCUUGUACACACCGCCCGU